Molecule: ribosomal RNA, 253 nt
Filed under: uncultured bacterium
Lineage: Bacteria
Description: partial 16S ribosomal RNA
Rfam family: Bacterial small subunit ribosomal RNA
Source: RNAcentral
UACGGAGGGAGCUAGCGUUGUUCGGAAUUACUGGGCGUAAAGCGCGCGUAGGCGGCUUUGUAAGUUAGAGGUGAAAGCCCGGAGCUCAACUCCGGAACUGCCUUUAAAACUGCAUCGCUUGAAUCCAGGAGAGGUGAGUGGAAUUCCGAGUGUAGAGGUGAAAUUCGUAGAUAUUCGGAGGAACACCAGUGGCGAAGGCGGCUCACUGGACUGGUAUUGACGCUGAGGUGCGAAAGCGUGGGGAGCAAACAGG